CAGCCGCCGCGGUAAUACGGAGGGUGCAAGCGUUAAUCGGAAUUACUGGGCGUAAAGCGCACGCAGGCGGUCUGACAAGUCAGAUGUGAAAUCCCCGGGCUUAACCUGGGAACUGCAUUUGAAACUGUCAGGCUGGAGUCUUGUAGAGGGGGGUGGAAUUCCAGGUGUAGCGGUGAAAUGCGUAGAGAUCUGGAGUAAUACCGGUGGCGAAGGCGGCCCCCUGGACAAAGACUGACGCUCAGGUGCGAAAGCGUGGGGAGCAAACAGGAUUAGAUACCCCUGUAGUCCCUGUCUCUUAUAC
Molecule: ribosomal RNA, 301 nt
Filed under: uncultured bacterium
Lineage: Bacteria
Description: partial 16S ribosomal RNA
Rfam family: Bacterial small subunit ribosomal RNA
Source: RNAcentral